RNAcentral lists this ribosomal RNA (527 nucleotides) under uncultured Gammaproteobacteria bacterium. RNAcentral's name for it is "bacterial SSU rRNA". It matches the Rfam family "Bacterial small subunit ribosomal RNA", at positions 8 to 525 of the family's 1533-position model. The record is from RNAcentral. Lineage: Bacteria; Pseudomonadati; Pseudomonadota; Gammaproteobacteria.
AUAGUUUGAUCCGGUCUCACAUUGAACGCCGGCGGCAUGCCUAACACAUGCAAGUCUAACGGCAACGAUGGAAGCUUGUUUCCACCCGUCGAGUGGCGGACGGCUGACUAAUACUUAGGAAUCUGCCCAAUAGUGGGGGACAACUCUCCGAAACGCUGCCUCCUACCGCAUACUACCUACGGGUGAAAGUGGAGGAUCUUCGGACUUCCCGCUAUUGCAUGAACCUAUCUCAGAUUUGCUUGGUGGUGGGGUCAAGGCCUACCAAAGCUACCAUCCGUAACUGGUUCGACAAGACGAUCUUCCCCCCUGGGACUGAGACAGGGCCCAGACUCCUUUCGGAGGCAUAUUCGGGGAAUAUUGGACAAUGGGGGCAACCCUGAUCCCGUCUGCCGCUUGUGUGAAAAAGGGCUGUCGAUUUGCAUGUGUUUUGCCUGCAGAAAACGUUCUUUCUGUUAAUACCCGUGACUCUUGAGGUUAAUUCCGGAAGAAAUCUCCGGCUCUGUCCGUGCGCUCAAGCCUGCAUAAUA